CCUACGGGAGGCAGCAGUAGGGAAUCUUCCGCAAUGGACGAAAGUCUGACGGAGCAACGCCGCGUGAGUGAUGAAGGUUUUCGGAUCGUAAAACUCUGUUGUUAGGGAAGAACAAGUACCGGAGUAACUGCCGGUACCUUGACGGUACCUAACCAGAAAGCCACGGCUAACUACAUGCCAGCAGCCGCGGUAAUACGUAGGUGGCAAGCGUUGUCCGGAAUUAUUGGGCGUAAAGCGCGCGCAGGCGGUUCCUUAAGUCUGAUGUGAAAGCCCACGGCUCAACCGUGGAGGGUCAUUGGAAACUGGGGAACUUGAGUGCAGAAGAGAAGAGUGGAAUUCCACGUGUAGCGGUGAAAUGCGUAGAGAUGUGGAGGAACACCAGUGGCGAAGGCGACUCUUUGGUCUGUAACUGACGCUGAGGCGCGAAAGCGUGGGGAGCAAACAGGAUUAGAUACCCUGGUAGUCCACGCCGUAAACGAUGAGUGCUAAGUGUUAGGGGGUUUCCGCCCCUUANUGCUGCAGCUAACGCAUUAAGCACUCCGCCUGGGGAGUACGGUCGCAGACUGAAACUCAAAUGAAUUGACGGGG
Molecule: ribosomal RNA, 588 nt
Filed under: uncultured Bacillus sp.
Lineage: Bacteria; Bacillati; Bacillota; Bacilli; Caryophanales; Bacillaceae
Description: bacterial SSU rRNA
Rfam family: Bacterial small subunit ribosomal RNA
Source: RNAcentral